Long non-coding RNA from Penaeus monodon (black tiger shrimp), 903 nucleotides. RefSeq lists it as uncharacterized. The transcript has 3 exons. Lineage: Eukaryota; Metazoa; Arthropoda; Malacostraca; Decapoda; Penaeidae. The record is from RefSeq and is a predicted model, not a curated record.
UAUGGUGGACUCCUCCGACGACUCGGACGGCGACCAGAGGCCCAAGUCGCUGGACUUCUGGGACAACAAACCGCAGAUCACGCCCACACCGCUGAGCCCCACCCACUACCAGCAGCCGCCCACGCCCGACCACCCGCCGCCCUCGGCUCGCCAGGCGCAGAUCUCCAUCUUCGCCAAGAUUCAGUCUGUCUCGCGGCCGCCCGGUGGUGAUGGUGAUGAUGGUGAUGGUUUGGUCUCCGAUUUGAAGGUUAAGGAUGCCUCAUAACCCGGAUCUUGGAUUGUGCUCUGAUUGACCUUUGACCUUGGAUGUAAUUAUUCGCUUUGAUAGGUCAAGAAUCAUGUGGAUUUUAAUAAUAGGAUAUCAUGCAGUAUGGCGAAUCGCCUUUUUUUUAAUGUAUUUUUUUGGUGUCGUUUUUACAUGCAUAUUUUUUUAGUUUUGUUAUGUAAUAGUUUGAAUAUAUUUUUAUAUAGUGACUUUUUAUGUAAAUAUGCGUGAGUGUGCCAAGACUGUGUUGCCAAGCUUUGAUAUCGAGACUUUUUUUUUAAGAGUGAAAAUUCUUUUCUUUUUUUUUAUUCGGCCACGGUGAUAAGAAAAAAAAAUAGUGGUGGUUGAUGGUGAUGACAUUUUUGUCGGUGGUGUUAGUGAUGGAGGUAUGGUGAUGACUGUAGUGAUGAAUUGGUGACGACGGUGUGAUGGUGACAAGAGGAUGACACAACCUCGGUAUGACACACAGAUAGAAGGGAAGAAAGACGUAAGUGCCACCCUCAUGACACUGGCAUUACUACUAUUAUUAUUGUUGUUGUUGCUGCUGCAAGGAGGCUACGUUGCCGAAGAAAUACUACUGCGAGGUUGUUGUCUCUCGCGGACUGUGUGGGCGUGAACCGAGGAAGGACACUAACCUC